CAGUAGCCGCGGUAAUACGUAGGUGGCAAGCGUUGUCCGGAAUUAUUGGGCGUAAAGGGCUCGCAGGCGGUUUCUUAAGUCUGAUGUGAAAGCCCUCGGCUCAACCGGGGAGGGUCAUUGGAAACUGGGAAACUUGAGUGCAGAAGAGGAGAGUGGAAUUCCACGUGUAGCGGUGAAAUGCGUAGAGAUGUGGAGGAACACCAGUGGCGAAGGCGACUCUCUGGUCUGUAACUGACGCUGAGGAGCGAAAGCGUGGGGAGCGAACAGGAUUAGAUACCCCGGUAGUCCCUGUCUCUUAUAC
RNAcentral lists this ribosomal RNA (301 nucleotides) under uncultured bacterium. RNAcentral's name for it is "partial 16S ribosomal RNA". It matches the Rfam family "Bacterial small subunit ribosomal RNA", at positions 509 to 807 of the family's 1533-position model. The record is from RNAcentral.